CGGGGUUCCCACGAUGCUGGGCCAGCUGAUGGGGUCCCCCUGGGAUGGAGAUUCUCUUGCCAACAAGUCAAGUUCGGCGAUGACAGAGUGGGCGACAGUCCGCCUCUCUGUUGCUGCCCCACGACGUCCCCUCUGGGGCUAGAACGGAUCUUGGAGAAUGUCCAGGAGUCACAGCCUGGCUAUAGAGCAGGUCACAAAAUUGCAUCCAAAGAACUGGAUUUUUUCCUUUGCCCUUGAUGCCGCCGUGGGUCGGCCCUGCCUUUCCCUGCAGACCCCCGGGGAGGAGCACAGGAGGAGCGGAGACUGCUGCGAAGGAGUCAGGCCUGAGGGCAGCAGAGGGGGACCUGUUCACGUGUUCACGAGUCAGAUGAAAGAAUUGCUAAAUUGUUGUCCCGGGUGGAGCAACUGGGAGCUGGAGGAAAGGAGAAGAAUCCCAGGAAGCGGUGGAGGAGUGGGCUGCCUGAUUCCAGCAACCACGGCAAGGAGACCUGAGUGCAGGAUCUUGGUUGGCUGAAGUAAGGUCCUGCAUGAGGAGCCAACACCCUAUUAUUCCUCCAUUACAAUCCUACCUAGAGAUGCUCAUCUUUGAAGGCAGCUCUCACAGGCAACAUAUCCUUGCAAUCGUGGAUCGUGGACUGUGGACCGUGGACCUGAGACUGUCCUUUGUGUCUCGCUGUUCCCUGACAAUAAUGGGCAGGGAGCCAGGUGAGUGCGGGGUGGGCCCAAGUAAAAAGAGCAGAAAGGGAGGAGCCUGUGGGAACCUGCUUGGGCGCCACCGGGGAAGAACAGCAAGUUCCCUUCAGAGGGACAGUCGCGUCCUCCGUAAACCAGCGCGGACUUCCCCAGCGUUUAUGGAGCCCUGGUAUGUGUCCCACGCAGCCCCCUCUCUUCUCCGGGUGUGCAGGCCUUUCUACAAGCCUGGGAAGUAGCCCUUACCCCCUCAUUAAAGAGCAGGUGAGCUGCAGAACGCUUCGGAUGGAGGGGGGAUGAUGAGUCACAACAAUUUCCCCCUCUCGACACUCUACAGUCGAAGGCCAAGUUCUAGCAAGCGGCAUUCCCACGAGGCCCAGGACCGGACAGAAACAGUCCCCGAUGUCGAUGUCGACUCGAGCAGGAGCAGGAGGGGGGGUGGUGGGGGAGGAGGAGCUGGGCAGGGGGCCCCAUCCGGGGCUCCAUCCCAGAGCCGUGGCGUCAUGACCUCAGCAGAAGGAAGGCCGAGGCUUAAUUGAGUCACCCAGGCGCCCCUACCAUUAGUUUUGAUAAAGCCCUGGGCUGCUGGCAGAGUAUGGCAAAGGUGCCCAAGCCCUGCUGGGCAUUGGAAUGCCCUGGGAAUUUCUCGACGCCACCUUGAGACAUUUUGCUCUAACUGCUGUCAGGUGUAACCUGGGUUUGAGAUUAGUGAAAGCUCCCCCGGUGGUUCUAAUAUGGAGCAAAACUUGGGAACUCUUGGGACACCGACAUGGGGUGCAGGGGACGAGGGUUUGGUGAAAGACGGUGGCAUAAAGCAUUGAGAAACAGAAGACGUUUUGUUGCCACCAUCUCCUGGUCAUUUGAUAUAGAAAUGGGGAAAAUUGACUUGAUUUUAUUACUUCUUGCCCUGAAAUGAUUUCUCUUUCGGGAGAGACAGCUACGUAGUCUCCUCUGUACACAUCGGUGUCUUUCUAACUGGUAAGAAGAAAAUGAUUUUGGGGUGGAAAAUACUGGAAAAGGCUUCAAAGAAUGGGUCUCUUUCUAUACAAUAACAACAAAAGCGUAAUUCCAGAGCAUGGAAAUGGAUACCCAGGAGGUUAUUAUUUACUUUCCCCAAAUUCACAUAAUGGGCAUCCUUUCAGAAUUGAAACCAUUUCGUUUGGGAUAUGUGUUGCCUGGCACCCCCAAGAUGUAAAUGCAUAGUUUUUUAAAAAAGAUUUAUUUAUUUAUGAGAAACAGAGAGAGAGAGAGAGAGAGAGAGAGAGAGGCAGAGACACAGGCAGAGGGAGAAGCAGGCUCUAUGCAGGGAGCCCGAUGCGGGACUCCAUCCUGGAACUCCAGGAUCGCACCCUGGGCCAAAGGCAGGCGCCAAACUGCUGAGUCACCCGAGCUGCCCAUAAAUACAUAAUUAAUUGUUUCUAGUGAACAAAUUUUGAUUUGCACAUUAUCUGCAGAAACAUUUCCACUGGAUAAAGAGAAAUAAAUACACAUAUUGUAACAUAUCCCGCUGGGACUUCCAAGUAGCUGAACUACAAAUGGUAUAUUACGGUUAUAAAACCGGAGGCAACGUUUGUUACAAAAUUCAUCCUCAACUGAGGCAGGUAGCCUUGUCCCUGCUUUUCAGAGUGUCACUCUGCAGAAAUUGAGCUGAGCCUGGGUUCACACCAGCAGCCCGGGAGGAAACACCUGUGAUGCCUAAAACUAACCAGGAGUUGCCUUCUAGAUGUAAGGGCCUCGCUUGCGUCAGCAGGAGACAGACAGGACACUUCACGGGAGAGAAACCUGUCAAAAACAAUGAAAAGUCAAUCUGAGAAGAGAAAGCCAAAAUGAGUGGUGAACGACGCUCAACUUCAUUAGUAAUCAAAUAAAUGGAAAUUAAGGUCCAGACCCUGACAGUUCUUCUGAGGGGAGCGCACGUAGGGGUGUCCAUGGAGCCACGACCAGCGGCAGAGCAGGGUUGGAGGCCACCUCGGUGUCCCCGUGAAGGGAGUGGAUGAAGAAGGCAGCGUCGGGGCGGGGGGGGGGGGGCAGCCCAGGUGGCU
Canis lupus familiaris (dog) is the source of this 2732-nucleotide RNA transcript. It is a transcript of the gene named ribonuclease A family member 10 (inactive), with no coding region annotated. Lineage: Eukaryota; Metazoa; Chordata; Mammalia; Carnivora; Canidae. The record is from RefSeq and is a predicted model, not a curated record. The transcript has 5 exons.